GUCCUUCAGCUCAACAUUAUUUCGAAAUAAUGGCUUGCUGUGCAGACACUAUUAUUUUGGAAUGACGUUAUUCCAAAAUAAUGCCGCUGUGUAGACAUAGCUUUAUUUUUUUUACACUCCAACAAUCUCAAACCUUAUGUGUCUUUGCUCCAUGAUACUCUUCAAUAUAUGGUCCCUCGGGUGAGAUUACUAACAAAGGUACCAAUUGUGACGGUAUCAGGAAGAGUAUAGGCUGCCAACUAGUUCUACAGGCUUGACUUUGCUUAUAAAUAUCAGGACAUUUGAGCAUUUUGCCAAUUUAAUAUUAGCCAAAGUGGACUUAGAGGCUCAUAUUUCAUAAUUAUACUUCAGAACUAGCAUGUGCUCAUAUAUGGGUGAAUUUCUAAUUUUGAAAAGCAAAGUACAACAAAAUUCAGUACAAAGAAGUGUCUGUGUUUGUCACCAACAUCUAGUGUCCAAUCCCUGAUUCCUGUAACCUCCAAUUAUCUGCAAGAGGUAGCCAUAUUGUGGUAAAAUAUUAUAUUGUUAGUAUUUGGCCAACUCAUUUUUUAAAUGAGAGUCAUGGAGAUGUCAUGUUGGAAAAGCAAAAGUAACUGUAAAUAUGAUUUUAACAUGGGUGGUUUUGGAAUCCGGUUCCAAUUUUAGUGCUGUGAUAACAGUUUUUAUCAUAGAAGAUACUAUAAAAGAUCCAAAUUGACGAAACCCAAGUUAGUUUUUCCAAGUGUGGUCUAAGGCACAUGCCUAAACAUUAAGAAUGCAGACAAUCCCAAUGAAGUACCUUUUUGAACUAGGGUCUUAAAAGAAGUUUUUAACCUGAGAGUAGGGCCAAGAGAUUAUUAUUUCUUACUCAAACUCUGUCUUUUCAGUCUUUUGUGUUGAAUUAGCAUAAUCAUGGAGCUCUUGCUUUCUAUUGGCUUCCUAGGCAGACAAUGGGUAUAAUUUGGGAUGAACAAUUUUUUAGUUCCAACAGUUUUCUAUAGUACUACUCAUAUUCAAAUAAAUUAAUGUAACAACAUAAAAUUGCUCUUAAUGAAGAAAGUUACUGAAGCAUUAAUGACAACAAACUUCAAACAAACAUCAUGCGAGUUUAUUUUUUCCUUGCCUUUCAGAUUUUCACUGCAGCCGUAUUGCUGCCCAUACACAGACUUAUCCAUCAAAAUAUUGACAAUAUAAUGCAUCCUUCUUUAGGAUUAGAAAACUAAACUUACUCAAGUGCACGUACAAGCACUGCAUCCUCUGCAAAAUGGCUCUAUUAAGAGAAUAGUGGACAACAUACAAAUACGACAAAUGAUUUCAACGUCCACCAAGUGUCCCAAUCAGAUAAAUCAAGAUGGAAAACAAAGUCCAGAGAAUGAAGUGCCAGUAACCAUAAUAUCUAAUCCUUCCCAAAUAACUGCUGAAACAGGCAAAAUGAGAGUUUUCCAAGAGACCUCAGAACCAAAAGUAACCAGCCAUAAUUCUUCCACACACAAACACCAGGUUUAUUUGAGUCACAGCCAUUUGUGACACCAUGAGACAAGAGAGCAUGAUUUGCCUUUUAUGCAACAAAGCAACUAUACUCCACUGUGUUCUGAUUAUUCUAUCCCUGUGCCUGUAUCAACAAGUAGUAACAGUGUAAUCUUCAAAAUCUUGCUAACAGGACUGUUCACUAAAUGAAUGUCACUCUAAAAAGCUUCUGUCUUAUUCAGUGACAGGGAUUUGAAAAACAGCAUGUACAAUGCAUCUCUUAUUUCAAUUAAGAAAACAGCAGCCAACAUCUUAAUGCUUGAAGACUAAACAUUCACACAUGAGGAAACAUCUACUUUCCCCCACCCCACCCACAUAUCCCUCUCCCAAGGCCUAAGAAAAUUUCACUUUCUUCAAGAACACAAGAGAGAGGCAAGACAUUUUUCAAGACUAUGAAAGUGUUAUGGCUGAAACAGCAGAGAUGCACUGGUAUUUCGCUGCUUUACUAAAACAGGAGCCAAUGAGUCUAUGACUGGAAGGUAGCCAACGUGACACCAAUAUUUAAAAAGGGCUCUAGAGGCGAUCCUGGCAAUUACAGACCGUCUCAGUGGAACUCCUUUUUUAACAGUUUCAACUAAUGAAGCUAUAACAGUCCUGUAGAAGGAAACAAAAAAGUCCUUCAAAGAAGGCAGAGAGAUGAAAUUGCAACUACCUUUGACUUAUGACCAUGCUAAGAAGGGUGCUGUCUUGGCAUAACUGACACUUAGAAACCAGCAAGAGGAGAAAAUGGCCAUUAAAAAGCAUUAACCGAAAUCAAGGAAACAUUUAACCAAAAGUGUCUAUAGAAAGUACAGAGAACAAAGGAAUGGAGCAAGGCAUGAAGGACAGACAGACUUUCUGGAAAGCUCAAGAAAUUCUGCUAUGGUCCCGGUUUCCUAUAUCCAAACAUUAAAGGUUCAGCACAAGAUACAAAAGCACACUGAAGCUGGCAAUUUUCCUCAUUGUUUUGAGUCCCCAUCUAUCCCCCUCUACUAAUGUCUCCUUAAAUGUUUAGUAUUUUAAUUUUGUUCAACAUACUGGUUACUGAAACAAAUAACUAGGGGCACUUAAAAGUUCAUUCCUGCCCUAGAGAGUUUAUGGAAUUCAGCAAUAUUCACCAUAUGUGCUGCAAAUCUCUCUAGAACUAGAAUGAACUAUAAGUGUAUCCACUACAUAUAAUCCUAAUGUUAUGCAAAAAUUCUUAGUAAUAAAACAAAUACAAUUAUUUUCCGUAAAUAUUAAUUAAAAUGUUUUUAGAAGCUGGCCAGAAGAGGUCAGCAGUGCUAGCUUUCGGGAAACAGAGAUGGACAGGAAUGAACAUAAAGAAAGAAAUGGA
Pelodiscus sinensis (Chinese soft-shelled turtle) is the source of this 2821-nucleotide non-coding RNA. Lineage: Eukaryota; Metazoa; Chordata; Testudines; Trionychidae. The record is from RefSeq and is a predicted model, not a curated record.